This 492-nucleotide ribosomal RNA is filed under the name uncultured bacterium. RNAcentral describes it as "partial 16S ribosomal RNA". It matches the Rfam family "Bacterial small subunit ribosomal RNA", at positions 29 to 507 of the family's 1533-position model. The record is from RNAcentral.
AGUGAACGCUGGCGGUAGGCCUAACACAUGCAAGUCGAACGGCAGCACAGUAAGAGCUUGCUCUUACGGGUGGCGAGUGGCGGACGGGUGAGGAAUACAUCGGAAUCUACUUUUUCGUGGGGGAUCACGUAGGGAAACUUACGCUAAUACCGCAUCCGACCUACGGGUGAAAGCAGGGGAUCUUCGGACCUUGCGCGAUUGAAUGAGCCGAUGUCGGAUUAGCUAGUUGGCGGGGUAAAGGCCCACCAAGGCGACGAUCCGUAGCUGGUCUGAGAGGAUGAUCAGCCACACUGGAACUGAGACACGGUCCAGACUCCUACGGGAGGCAGCAGUGGGGAAUAUUGGACAAUGGGCGCAAGCCUGAUCCAGCCAUACCGCGUGGGUGAAGAAGGCCUUCGGGUUGUAAAGCCCUUUUGUUGGGAAAGAAAAGCAGCAGGUUAAUACCCCGCUGUUCUGACGGUACCCAAAGAAUAAGCACCGGCUAACUUCGUG